This 253-nucleotide ribosomal RNA is filed under the name uncultured bacterium. RNAcentral describes it as "partial 16S ribosomal RNA". It matches the Rfam family "Bacterial small subunit ribosomal RNA", at positions 524 to 776 of the family's 1533-position model. The record is from RNAcentral.
UACGAAGGGGGCUAGCGUUGUUCGGAAUUACUGGGCGUAAAGCGCACGUAGGCGGGUUUGUAAGUAGGGGGUGAAAUCCCAGGGCUCAACCCUGGAACUGCCUUCUAGACUGCAAGCCUGGAGGUCAGGAGAGGCGAGUGGAAUACCGAGUGUAGAGGUGAAAUGCGUAGAGAUCCGGAGGAACACCAGUGGCGAAGGCGGCCGCCUGGACCUGACCUGACGCUGAGGCGCGAAGGCGCGGGGAGCGAACGGG